This 253-nucleotide ribosomal RNA is filed under the name uncultured bacterium. RNAcentral's name for it is "partial 16S ribosomal RNA". It matches the Rfam family "Bacterial small subunit ribosomal RNA", at positions 524 to 776 of the family's 1533-position model. The record is from RNAcentral.
GACAGAGGGUGCAAACGUUGUUCGGAAUUACUGGGCGUAAAGCGCGUGUAGGCGGUCAGGCAAGUCGGAUGUGAAAUCCCGUGGCUCAACUACGGAAGUGCGCCCGAAACUGCUUGACUUGAGUCCCGGAGAGGAAGGCGGAAUGCUUGGUGUAGAGGUGAAAUUCGUAGAUAUCAAGCGGAACACCGGUGGCGAAGGCGGCCUUCUGGACGAGGACUGACGCUGAGACGCGAAAGCGUGGGGAGCAAACAGG